UACCUGAUGGCUCAGACGGUAAAGAAUCUGCCUGCCAAGCAGGAGUCUCAGGUUUGAUGCCUGGUCAGGAAG
RNAcentral lists this transfer RNA (72 nucleotides) under Bos taurus (domestic cattle). It matches the Rfam family "tRNA". Rfam says of the family: Transfer RNA (tRNA) molecules are approximately 80 nucleotides in length. Their secondary structure includes four short double-helical elements and three loops (D, anti-codon, and T loops). Further hydrogen bonds mediate the characteristic L-shaped molecular structure. tRNAs have two regions of fundamental functional importance: the anti-codon, which is responsible for specific mRNA codon recognition, and the 3' end, to which the tRNAs corresponding amino acid is attached (by aminoacyl-tRNA synthetases). tRNAs cope with the degeneracy of the genetic code in two manners: having more than one tRNA (with a specific anti-codon) for a particular amino acid; and 'wobble' base-pairing, i.e. permitting non-standard base-pairing at the 3rd anti-codon position. The record is from Rfam by way of RNAcentral. Lineage: Eukaryota; Metazoa; Chordata; Mammalia; Artiodactyla; Bovidae. RNAcentral also lists the same sequence under 1 other name.